CCCACAGUUCAGUACUAAAGGGGAGGGGAGGUGCAGGGAGAAAGGAACACGCUAAAAAAUGAAGUUACACCAAGAGGUUUGUAGAACUUCUGAGCAAAACUUUUGUUUGGUUUUGACAACCGCAUUAAGCUACUACUGAAGCAGUAGCUUUCUUCUUUCUUCAUCUGAAGGAAGAAAUACUCCACGUCUCAGUGAUUCCAAGCCCUUUUUUUUUUUUUCCCCCAAAGCAGGGAAUGAUCCCGAGGAAAGUUUCUGCUUGGACAAUCAGCCUAGGUGCUGCUGCAGCAGCAGCUGCAAGGACCUUCAAAGGGAGCAACUUGCAGGGAAGGAUAAGGGUUCUUCUGCUGGAAGAUGCAGGACAAUGUACAUCUCCCAGAGGACUCAACAGUGUCCCGCUGCUGUGUGCUGGUCAGGAUGAUGCAGUCCCUCCUGAGUGCAGGGAAGAAAAGGACAACACAGGGAAACCUCACAUACCAGAGAUCUAAGGAAAUGCUACAGCUAACCAUGGAAAGCUUCUGCCCAUUUCCAUUGACUAGUGUUCUAGUGCCUCUCUACACAGCAUUAAGUCAGCGUUCAGCUUCACCAGCAGCCAGACCCUGCUGCAGCGACUGCAGAGUUGGACAAUUCCUACCCUCACCCCAAG
This 643-nucleotide long non-coding RNA is filed under the name Gallus gallus (chicken). RNAcentral's name for it is "long non-coding RNA NONGGAT002906". The record is from RNAcentral. Lineage: Eukaryota; Metazoa; Chordata; Aves; Galliformes; Phasianidae.